CCGAUUAGAUAGUUGGUGGGGUAAUGGCCUACCAAGUCAGCGAUCGGUAGCCGACCUGAGAGGGUGAUCGGCCACACUGGAACUGAGAGACGGUCCAGACUCCUACGGGAGGCAGCAGUGGGGAAUAUUGGGCAAUGGGGGAAACCCUGACCCAGCGACGCCGCGUGAGGGAAGAAGGUUUUCGGAUUGUAAACCUCUGUUCUUGGUGAAGAGUGGAAGACGGUAACCAAGGAGGAAGCCCCGGCUAACUACGUGCCAGCAGCCGCGGUAAUACGUAGGGGGCGAGCGUUGUCCGGAAUGAUUGGGCGUAAAGGGCGCGUAGGCGGCUGUUUAAGUCUGGAGUGGAAGUCCUAUUUUUAAGGUAGGAAUUGCUUUGGAAACUGAGCAGCUUGAGUGCAGGAGAGGUCAUCGGAAUUCCCGGUGUAGCGGUGAAAUGCGUAGAGAUCGGGAGGAACACCAGUGGCGAAGGCGGGUGACUGGACUGCAACUGACGCUGAGGCGCGAAAGUGUGGGGAGCAAACAGGAUUAGAUACCCUGGUAGUCCACACUGUAAACGAUGAAUGCUAGGUGUAGGGGGUAUCGACCCCUUCUGUGCCGCAGUCAACACAAUAAGCAUUCCGCCUGGGGAGUACGGUCGCAAGAUUAAAACUCAAAGGAAUUGACGGGGCCCGCACAAGCAGCGGAGCAUGUGGUUUUAUUCGAAGCAACGCGAAGAACCUUACCAGUUCUUGACAUCCAGGUAAAGCUGCAGAGAUGCAGUGUUGUGCUUGCACAAUCUGAGAACAGGUGUGCAUGUUGUCGUCAGC
Molecule: ribosomal RNA, 806 nt
Filed under: uncultured bacterium
Lineage: Bacteria
Description: bacterial SSU rRNA
Rfam family: Bacterial small subunit ribosomal RNA
Source: RNAcentral